AAACUUAAAGGAAUUGACGGGGACCCGCACAAGCGGCGGAGCAUGCGGAUUAAUUCGAUGCAACGCGAAGAACCUUACCAAGGCUUGACAUACACGAGAACGCCCUAGAAAUAGGGAACUCUUUGGACACUCGUGAACAGGUGGUGCAUGGUUGUCGUCAGCUCGUGUCGUGAGAUGUUGGGUUAAGUCCCGCAACGAGCGCAACCCUCGUUCUAUGUUGCCAGCACGUCAUGGUGGGAACUCAUGGGAUACUGCCGGGGUCAACUCGGAGGAAGGUGGGGAUGACGUCAAAUCAUCAUGCCCCUUAUGUCUUGGGCUUCACGCAUGCUACAAUGGCCGGUAACAAAGGGCUGCAAUACCGUAAGGUGGAGCGAAUCCCAAAAAGCCGGUCCCAGUUCGGAUUGAGGUCUGCAACUCGACCUCAUGAAGUCGGAGUCGCUAGUAAUCGCAGAUCAGCAACGCUGCGGUGAAUACGUUCCCGGGUCUUGUACACACCGCCCGUCAAGUCAUGAAAGUCGGUAACACCUGAAGCCGGUGGCCCAACCCUUGUGGAGGGAGCCGUCGAAGGUGGGAUCGGUAAUUAGGACUAAGUCGUAACAAGGUAGCCGUACCGGAAGGUGCGGCUGGAUCACCUCCUUUCUG
Molecule: ribosomal RNA, 642 nt
Filed under: uncultured Microbacterium sp.
Lineage: Bacteria; Bacillati; Actinomycetota; Actinomycetes; Micrococcales; Microbacteriaceae
Description: bacterial SSU rRNA
Rfam family: Bacterial small subunit ribosomal RNA
Source: RNAcentral